RNAcentral lists this ribosomal RNA (195 nucleotides) under uncultured bacterium. RNAcentral's name for it is "partial 16S ribosomal RNA". It matches the Rfam family "Bacterial small subunit ribosomal RNA", at positions 328 to 527 of the family's 1533-position model. The record is from RNAcentral.
ACGCUCGACACCUACGGGGGGCAGCAGUCGGGAAUAUUGCGCAAUGGAGGAAACUCUGACGCAGUGACGCCGCGUAUAGGAAGAAGGUUUUCGGAUUGUAAACUAUUGUCGUUAGGGAAGAAAAAGGACAGUACCUAAGGAGGAAGCUCCGGCUAACUACGUGCCACNNCGCGUAUNUNAGCGGCGUGNGAGACG